AUUAUUUGAGAAAAUAGGGGCUAUAAGUAUAGGCUACUGCACUUAUUUGUUAUCAGCGUUUGAGAAAUACUUCAAAGAAAAUUUCUCGUCGGUCAAAAUGGCGGACAAAGAAACCCCACUGCCGUCUCCGUCGUCCGAAAUCACGCCGUCGCCGUCGUCCGAAAUCUCGUCCAAGCAGAUUCUUCUACUGUUCCAGUUGUUUCUUUUCCUUAUAUUACAUCAUAGUGAAAAUUUCCCUCAUUCAACUUCACGUUUCUAUUUUGCAGCCGUCGCCGUCGGCCGAAAUCUCGUUCACUGCUAUGACGAGGUUUAAGGAAUCCAUGCCAUCUAAAGACAAGAUAAUUCUUGAUCAACCACUACCAAAUGCUCUUGGUGAACAGAAGCUGAAGGGGCAUUGAGAAAUCGUUUCGCCCGCUCAAUGGAGACGCAGAUUGAACAGGGCAUAAGUGCGCGCUAGAGAAGAUAAAACCCGAUGCUCUUGUUGCCGUUGCUGCCAUGAAAAUUUGUCCCGGUGAUGUU
Molecule: long non-coding RNA, 519 nt
Organism: Salvia splendens (bonfire salvia)
Lineage: Eukaryota; Viridiplantae; Streptophyta; Magnoliopsida; Lamiales; Lamiaceae
Exons: 3
Source: RefSeq, a predicted model, not a curated record